AUGAACGCUGGCGGCGUGCCUAAUACAUGCAAGUCGAGCGAACGGACGAGAAGCUUGCUUCUCUGAUGUUAGCGGCGGACGGGUGAGUAACACGUGGAUAACCUACCUAUAAGACUGGGAUAACUUCGGGAAACCGGAGCUAAUACCGGAUGAUAUUUUGAACCGCAUGGUUCAAAAGUGAAAGACGGUCUUGAUGUCACUUAUAGAUGGAUCCGCGCUGCAUUAGCUAGUUGGUAAGGUAACGGCUUACCAAGGCAACGAUGCAUAGCCGACCUGAGAGGGUGAUCGGCCACACUGGAACUGAGACACGGUCCAGACUCCUACGGGAGGCAGCAGUAGGGAAUCUUCCGCAAUGGGCGAAAGCCUGACGGAGCAACGCCGCGUGAGUGAUGAAGGUCUUCGGAUCGUAAAACUCUGUUAUUAGGGAAGAACAUAUGUGUAAGUAACUGUGCACAUCUUGACGGUACCUAAUCAGAAAGCCACGGCUAACUACGUG
RNAcentral lists this ribosomal RNA (496 nucleotides) under uncultured bacterium. Its description in RNAcentral is "partial 16S ribosomal RNA". It matches the Rfam family "Bacterial small subunit ribosomal RNA", at positions 29 to 507 of the family's 1533-position model. The record is from RNAcentral.